This 839-nucleotide ribosomal RNA is filed under the name uncultured bacterium. RNAcentral describes it as "bacterial SSU rRNA". It matches the Rfam family "Bacterial small subunit ribosomal RNA", at positions 66 to 918 of the family's 1533-position model. The record is from RNAcentral.
GCGGAAGUUUUCGGAUGGAAGCAAUAAACCUUAGCGGCGGACGGGUGAGUAACGCGUGGGUAACCUGCCUCAUACAGGGGGAUAACAGUUAGAAAUGACUGCUAAAACCGCAUAAGCGCACAUUGUCGAGUGACAGAGUGUGAAAAACUCCGGUGGUAUGAGAUGGACCCGCGUCUGAUUAGCUAGUUGGUGAGGUAACGGCCCACCAAGGCGACGAUCAGUAGCCGGCCUGAGAGGGCGACCGGCCACAUUGGGACUGAGACACGGCCCAAACUCCUACGGGAGGCAGCAGUGGGGAAUAUUGCACAAUGGGGGAAACCCUGAUGCAGCGACGCCGCGUGAGUGAAGAAGUAUUUCGGUAUGUAAAGCUCUAUCAGCAGGGAAGAAGAAAGACGGUACCUGACUAAGAAGCCCCGGCUAACUACGUGCCAGCAGCCGCGGUAAUACGUAGGGGGCAAGCGUUAUCCGGAUUUACUGGGUGUAAAGGGAGCGUAGACGGCUGUGCAAGUCUGAAGUGAAAGCCCAGGGCUCAACCCUGGGACUGCUUUGGAAACUGUGGAGCUAGAGUGCUGGAGAGGUAAGUGGAAUUCCUAGUGUAGCGGUGAAAUGCGUAGAUAUUAGGAGGAACACCAGUGGCGAAGGCGGCUUACUGGACAGUAACUGACGUUGAGGCUCGAAAGCGUGGGGAGCAAACAGGAUUAGAUACCCUGGUAGUCCACGCGGUAAACGAUGAAUACUAGGUGUUGGAGAGCAAAGCUUUUCGGUGCCGUCGCAAACGCAAUAAGUAUUCCACCUGGGGAGUACGUUCGCAAGAAUGAAACUCAAAGGAAUUGACGGGG